Molecule: ribosomal RNA, 253 nt
Filed under: uncultured bacterium
Lineage: Bacteria
Description: partial 16S ribosomal RNA
Rfam family: Bacterial small subunit ribosomal RNA
Source: RNAcentral
UACGUAGGGUGCAAGCGUUGUCCGGAAUUAUUGGGCGUAAAGAGCUCGUAGGCGGUUUGUCGCGUCGAAUGUGAAAACCCGGGGCUCAACCCCGGGCCUGCAUUCGAUACGGGCAGACUAGAGUUCGGUAGGGGAGUCUGGAAUUCCUGGUGUAGCGGUGAAAUGCGCAGAUAUCAGGAGGAACACCAAUAGCGAAGGCAGCUCGCUGGGACGUUACUGACACUGAGGCGCGAAAGCGUGGGGAGCGAACAGG